AGCAGCCGCGGUAAUUCCAGCUCCAAUAGCGUAUAUUAAAGUUGUUGCAGUUAAAAAGCUCGUAGUUGAAUUUCGGGGUUAGUAGGUUGGUCAUGCCACUGGUAUGUACUGGUCUCACUGAUUCCUCCUUCCUGAUGAACCGUAAUGCCAUUAAUUUGGUGUUGCGGGGAAACUGGACUGUUACUUUGAAAAAAUUAGAGUGUUUAAAGCAGGCUAACGCUUGAAUACAUUAGCAUGGAAUAAUGAAAUAGGACGUUCGAUCCUAUUUUGUUGGUUUCUAGGAUUGACGUAAUGAUUAAUAGGGAUAGUUGGGGGCAUUAGUAUUCAAUUGUCAGAGGUGAAAUUCUUGGAUUUAUUGAAGACUAACUACUGCGGAAGCAUUUGCCAAGGAUGUUUUCAUUAAUCAAGAACGAAAGUUAGGGGAUCGAAGACGAUCAGAUACCGUCGUAGUCUUAACCAUAAACUAUGCCGACUAGGGAUCGGAUGAUGUUAAUUUUUUAAUGACUCAUUCGGCGCCUUACG
This 522-nucleotide ribosomal RNA is filed under the name uncultured Glomus. RNAcentral's name for it is "SSU rRNA". It matches the Rfam family "Eukaryotic small subunit ribosomal RNA", at positions 569 to 1092 of the family's 1831-position model. The record is from RNAcentral. Lineage: Eukaryota; Fungi; Glomeromycota; Glomeromycetes; Glomerales; Glomeraceae.